CACUCUCCAGAGCAUUGUCCACCU
This 24-nucleotide non-coding RNA is filed under the name Arabidopsis thaliana (thale cress). Lineage: Eukaryota; Viridiplantae; Streptophyta; Magnoliopsida; Brassicales; Brassicaceae. The record is from RNAcentral.